Electrophorus electricus (electric eel) is the source of this 715-nucleotide long non-coding RNA. RefSeq lists it as uncharacterized. The record is from RefSeq and is a predicted model, not a curated record. NCBI's taxonomy places the organism in Eukaryota, Metazoa, Chordata, Actinopteri, Gymnotiformes, Gymnotidae.
CCAGCCAUGCACAGCACACAGAAGUGCAGCCAAUGCACCUUACAGAUCUUAUCUAUGAGAACACGUCAUGAUAAUAAUUAAUGCAGGACAGCAGUGUGCCAACCAGCACUACCCAAAUCAUCUCCAGCCAUGCCACACACUACACGGACACUGAUCUGAUGCAGCCUUAAAUUGACAAGCAGCCCACAGAUUCCUUCUUAUGCUGUUCUUCCCUGCCACUGUUUCCUUGGCUUGCAAUUUAGGAGCCAUACCAAGUUCCCGUAAUGCUGCUUCAAGACUAAAUUGUUAAAAAUGUCAUAUAAAUAAAAUAAAUAACAAAAUAAGAAUAAAUUGAAUUAAACAAAAGGAAUAAUCCAUAUUAAAAAAAAAUCAACCGAGUUAGAGUUAGUACUGAUAGUCAAUACUGACAAAACAAAAUGUUUUUUUGAUUACAAAGAAAUACAAUCAAGUUUUUACCACAUACCAUUUUUUUAAAUUUGUUUUUUGUUUUUCCAUAAUGAACUAUGAAGCAAUUCACAAUGCUAAUAGUUCCCAAAAACACCAAUGCAUCAGCUGAGCUGAAUGAAUGCCUGAAAAGCACUCGCAGAACACAAAGUUCCAGCAUAUGCCCAGGAACGUCUUCCACAAAUAAGGCUGUUUACCUCCAUGUGCUUUUCCUCUUCAAUUGUUGACAGAUGCCACUGGUUACAGAUUAUUAAACAGUAAUGGGAACUGG